UUACGGCCAGAUCACGUUGAAACACCUGUUCCCGUACGGCCAUCGAAGUUAAGCAACGUUGAGCCUAGUCAGUGCCUAGAUGGGUAACCGCAUGGGAAUAAAACAAGUAUUG
This is a non-coding RNA of Acanthosepion pharaonis, 112 nucleotides long. NCBI's taxonomy places the organism in Eukaryota, Metazoa, Mollusca, Cephalopoda, Sepiida, Sepiidae. The record is from the annotation of a GenBank genome assembly.